RNAcentral lists this ribosomal RNA (1532 nucleotides) under uncultured prokaryote. RNAcentral describes it as "partial 16S ribosomal RNA". It matches the Rfam family "Bacterial small subunit ribosomal RNA". The record is from RNAcentral.
AGAUUUGAUCCUGGCUCAGAUUGAACGCUGGCGGCAUGCCAGGCCUAACACAUGCAAGUCGAGCGAGAAAGCACUUCGGUGCGAGUAGAGCGGCGGACGGGUGAGUAACGCGUAGGAAUUUGCCCAGUAGUGGGGGACAACUUAGGGAAACUUAAGCUAAUACCGCAUACGCCCUAAGGGGGAAAGCAGGGGAUCUUCGGACCUUGCGCUAUUGGAUGAGCCUGCGUCGGAUUAGCUAGUUGGUGGGGUAAAGGCCUACCAAGGCGACGAUCCGUAGCUGGUCUGAGAGGAUGAUCAGCCACACUGGGACUGAGACACGGCCCAGACUCCUACGGGAGGCAGCAGUGGGGAAUAUUGGACAAUGGGGGCAACCCUGAUCCAGCCAUGCCGCGUGUGUGAAGAAGGCCUUAGGGUUGUAAAGCACUUUCAGUAGGGAGGAAAAGUUAGUCGUUAAUAACGGCUAACCCUGACGUUACCUACAGAAGAAGCACCGGCAAACUCCGUGCCAGCAGCCGCGGUAAUACGGAGGGUGCGAGCGUUAAUCGGAAUGACUGGGCGUAAAGCGCGCGUAGGUGGUUAUUUAAGUUGGAUGUGAAAGCCCUGGGCUCAACCUGGGAACUGCAUUCGAAACUGUCAGGCUAGAGUAUGGUAGAGGAUAGUGGAAUUUCCGGUGUAGCGGUGAAAUGCGUAGAGAUCGGAAGGAACAUCAGUGGCGAAGGGCGGCUAUCUGGACCAAUACUGACGCUGAGGUGCGAAAGCGUGGGGAGCAAACAGGAUUAGAUCCCCUGGUAGUCCACGCCGUAAACGAAUGAGAACUUGCUGUUGGAUGCAUAAAGGCAUUUAGUGGCGCAGCUAACGCGUUAAGUUCUCCGCCUGGGGAGUACGGCCGCAAGGCUAACACUCAAAGGAAUUGACGGGGGCCCGCACAAGCGGUGGAGCAUGUGGUUUAAUUCGAUGCAACGCGAAGAACCUUACCUACUCUUGUAUCCUCGGAAUUUUGCAGAGAUGCGAAAGUGCCUUCGGGAACCGAGAGACAGGUGCUGCAUGGCUGUCGUCAGCUCGUGUCGUGAGAUGUUGGGUUAAGUCCCAUAACGAGCGCAACCCUUAUCCUUAGUUGCCAGCGAGUCAAGUCGGGGACUCUAGGGAGACUGCCGGUGAUAAACCGGAGGAAGGUGGGGACGAUGUCAAGUCAUCAUGGCCCUUAUGAGUAGGGCUACACACGUGCUACAAUGGUUGGUACAAAAGGAAGCCAAGCCGCGAGGCGGAGCAAAUCCUCUAAAACCAUUCGUAGUCCGGAUUGGAGUCUGCAACUCGACUCCAUGAAGCUGGAAUCGCUAGUAAUCGUGGAUCAGAAUGCCACGGUGAAUACGUUCUCGGGCCUUGUACACACCGCCCGUCACACCAUGGGAGUGGGUUGUACCAGAAGCAGGUAGACUAACCUUAGGGAGGUCGCUUACCACGGUAUGGUUCAUGACUGGGGUGAAGUCGUAACAAGGUAGCCGUAGGGGAACCUGCGGCUGGAUCACCUCCUU